Molecule: long non-coding RNA, 472 nt
Filed under: Brassica rapa (field mustard)
Lineage: Eukaryota; Viridiplantae; Streptophyta; Magnoliopsida; Brassicales; Brassicaceae
Description: long non-coding RNA (BRAP_LNC008352)
Source: RNAcentral
UGCUCAUUAUCAAGAAGGUUUUAAGAAUCGUUUACCACAAGGAACCAGAUUGGUUCCUUAACCUUUCAUGAAACCGGCCAUGCUUUGUUGGACUUGAGAGUGUGGAUCGUCACCCACCUCCUUCACCUUCAGUUCAUGGCCUCCAUCUUGUACCAUCAGCUUCAAAGACCCCUCCUUUCUUCAUCUCCACUAGGCGCCAAGCUCUUGACACCAUCUUCUUUGGAACCGGAUGUGUUCUUCUCUUGGACAAGGCGCCUUGGUACAAGGAUAGCUAGGCCUUGUCCAUACACCUCUGCUUCCAAGGAGAAUCACCAUCAGGACAGGAAGAGAACAGGAUGAGGAACCAUGAGAACUCGCCAAGCUUCAGUCUUCUUCUUCAUAAGGAGCUGAACCGGAUGGAGAGAGCUUCAAUGGUUUGGAUUUGAGCUGAGGAGAGAGCAGUGUGUUUGCGGAAGCUUCAGCUCAGGUUCUG